AGCAGUGUGGUGCAGUGGUUCGAGCAUUGCACUAUGACUCUGGAGAUCAGGGUUUGAAUCCCUGCGCAGCCA
Non-coding RNA from Phrynosoma platyrhinos (Desert horned lizard), 72 nucleotides. The record is from the annotation of a GenBank genome assembly. Lineage: Eukaryota; Metazoa; Chordata; Lepidosauria; Squamata; Phrynosomatidae.